This 510-nucleotide ribosomal RNA is filed under the name uncultured bacterium. RNAcentral's name for it is "bacterial SSU rRNA". It matches the Rfam family "Bacterial small subunit ribosomal RNA", at positions 8 to 507 of the family's 1533-position model. The record is from RNAcentral.
AGAGUUUGAUCAUGGCUCAGAGUGAACGCUGGCGGCAGGCCUAAUACAUGCAAGUCGAACGGCAGCACAGCAGAGCUUGCUCUGUGGGUGGCGAGUGGCGGACGGGUGAGGAAUACGUGGGAAUCUGCCCAGUCGUGGGGGAUAACGUAGGGAAACUUACGCUAAUACCGCAUGCGCCCUUCGGGGGAAAGCCGGGGACCUUCGGGCCUGGCGCGAUUGGAUGAGCCCACGUCGGAUUAGCUAGUUGGCGGGGUAAAGGCCCACCAAGGCGACGAUCCGUAGCUGGUCUGAGAGGAUGAUCAGCCGCACUGGAACUGAGACACGGUCCAGACUCCUACGGGAGGCAGCAGUAGGGAAUAUUGGACAAUGGGCGCAAGCCUGAUCCAGCCAUGCCGCGUGAGUGAAGAAGGCCCUCGGGUUGUAAAGCUCUUUUGUCCGGAAAGAAAAGCGCCGGGUUAAUACCCUGGUGUCCUGACGGUACCGGAAGAAUAAGCACCGGCUAACUUCGUG